RNAcentral lists this small nuclear RNA (279 nucleotides) under Jaculus jaculus (lesser Egyptian jerboa). RNAcentral's name for it is "7SK RNA (ENSJJAG00000004816.1)". It matches the Rfam family "7SK RNA", at positions 1 to 276 of the family's 331-position model. From Rfam's summary of the family: 7SK was discovered as an abundant small nuclear RNA in the mid-70s but a possible function has only recently been suggested. Two independent studies have found that 7SK RNA binds the CDK9/cyclin T complex (known as elongation factor P-TEFb). The record is from RNAcentral. Lineage: Eukaryota; Metazoa; Chordata; Mammalia; Rodentia; Dipodidae.
GAACAUAGGGCAAUCUGACUGUAACAUCUGUCUCCUCAUUCAUUGCCAGGAUUGAUUGGCUCAUCUGGAUGGCUAGGUGAGUGUCCACUUCCUCCUCUACCACUCUAUUUGUUCUUGAUCUUCCCCAGUAGAGGCAGAUCUUUUUUAUUUCAAGGGUAUACAAGUACCUGUCCUCCCCUGAUAGAACCUCCAUGCAUGCUGCAAAAAGGACUCCAUUGGAAGCCAUGUCCUCACCAAUUGUUCUCUCUUGUGCAGAAUUACUUGAAGAAGAGAAAGCAU